This is a long non-coding RNA of Prunus persica (peach), 632 nucleotides long. RefSeq lists it as uncharacterized. The record is from RefSeq and is a predicted model, not a curated record. NCBI's taxonomy places the organism in Eukaryota, Viridiplantae, Streptophyta, Magnoliopsida, Rosales, Rosaceae. The transcript is spliced from 2 exons.
CCCAAAAUUGAAACGACUCCACUUUUACCACAUGUCGAAUUGGGAAGAGUGGGAAGGCGUGGAAGAGUGGACCAAAGAAGAUUCUGAAAUUACAAUCAUGCCAUGCCUUUCUGAGUUAAGAAUUGGCGACUGCGAAUUGCUAAAAGCACUGCCAGACUUCAUCUUCAAAACACCACUGCGGACUCUUGACAUCACCAAAUGUCGGAGACUUGCAGAGCAUUACGAAGAAGGCAGUGGAGAGCGGGCCAAGAUUUCUGCUAAGAUCCCAAACAUCCGCAUUUCCUCCGGGUAAUUGAACUCCAACAAUGAUCUUGAGAUGGUGACUCGCUAAAACUGGACCCUAUUGAAGCAAUUAGAGUGAUGUAAAUCAUCAAGUGUCAGCCUACGGAAGUUCCAAUAACAGAAAUUUUGAUUAUUUUCAUCACUGCCUUGACAGAGACAUGGUGAAUUUGGAAGGUCCACUGAGCUUGAUGAUUGCCCUGAUUUUUUUGUUUUGUAAGCACCUUAUAUUUAACUAAUCUACUGGUGUAUUGAUCAUUUGCAAAACUCCCUUUGUGUCAUUAAUUUGUAAAAUGUACUCUUGAGGAACUGGUGAAUUUGGGUUUGGCUUUCUCUUAUUUUAUUGUGUAUCA